UACGGCGGAACACGAGAAAUUCCGUCGGAAUCCGCGGGGACCAUCCCGCAAGGCUAAAUACUCCCUAGUGACCGAUAGUGAACCAGUACCGUGAGGGAAAGGUGAAAAGCACCCCGGAAGGGGAGUGAAAUAGAUCCUGAAACCGUGUGCCUACAACAAGUCAAAGCUCGUUAAUGAGUGAUGGCGUGCCUUUUGUAGAAUGAACCGGCGAGUUACGAUUGCAUGCGAGGUUAAGUCGAAGAGACGGAGCCGCAGCGAAAGCGAGUCUGAAUAGGGCGAAUGAGUAUGUAGUCGUAGACCCGAAACCAUGUGAUCUACCCAUGUCCAGGUUGAAGGUGCGGUAAAACGCACUGGAGGACCGAACCCACGUACGUUGAAAAGUGCGGGGAUGAGGUGUGGGUAGCGGAGAAAUUCCAAACGAACUUGGAGAUAGCUGGUUCUCUCCGAAAUAGCUUUAGGGCUAGCCUCGGAAUUGAGAAUGAUGGAGGUAGAGCACUGUUUGGACUAGGGGCCCAUCUCGGGUUACCGAAUUCAGAUAAACUCCGAAUGCCAUUCAUUUAUAUCCGGGAGUCAGACUGCGAGUGAUAAGAUCCGUAGUCGAAAGGGAAACAGCCCAGACCACCAGCUAAGGUCCCAAAAUAUAUGUUAAGUGGAAAAGGAUGUGGGGUUGCACAGACAACUAGGAUGUUGGCUUAGAAGCAGCCACCAUUUAAAGAGUGCGUAAUAGCUCACUAGUCGAGUGACCCUGCGCCGAAAAUGUACCGGGGCUAAACAUAUUACCGAAGCUGUGGACUACACCAUUAGGUGUAGUGGUAGGAGAGCGUUCUAAGGGCGUUGAAGGUCGAUCGUGAGGACGGCUGGAGCGCUUAGAAGUGAGAAUGCCGGUAUGAGUAGCGAAAGACAGGUGAGAAUCCUGUCCACCGUAUGACUAAGGUUUCCUGGGGAAGGCUCGUCCGCCCAGGGUUAGUCGGGACCUAAGCCGAGGCCGAUAGGCGUAGGCGAUGGACAACAGGUUGAUAUUCCUGUACCAGUUGUUUUUGUUUGAGCAAUGGAGGGACG
RNAcentral lists this ribosomal RNA (1059 nucleotides) under Enterococcus faecalis. RNAcentral's name for it is "partial 23S ribosomal RNA". It matches the Rfam family "Bacterial large subunit ribosomal RNA", at positions 413 to 1474 of the family's 2925-position model. The record is from RNAcentral. Lineage: Bacteria; Bacillati; Bacillota; Bacilli; Lactobacillales; Enterococcaceae.